UUUGUAUAUAAAUAACGUGAUUACGCGUUAAUUUCAUUUAUUUGUGCUCUUAUGAUCUUAUCUAAGAUUCAAAAUCUCCUGUCUCGAUUUAAAGUGGGCCAAACCCAAAAACCCCACAAAAGGCCCACCGCGGUGGACAAGUACAACAACCACGCAUCCCGCGUUAGAAAUCCUAAUUGGGCGGUGUCGCCAUACAAUCGAUUUUCGAACUUUGAAGCAAAAUCCGAGAAAAUGGAGGAUGAGGAUCGGACGAAUGUACUGGUAAAUCGAAAUCUGAUUGAAAGUUGAUUGUGGAGGAAUUGGAGGAAAAUUUGGAUCUUGCUUGAAGAUGUUCGAGCUUCGGAGGCAUUUAUUAUAUCGGUGGGCGGUUGAGAAGGAAACAAGGAAACGAUAAACAAUCAAAUGAAGAAGUCAAAGACACCCACUUGGCUUUUUCCACUUCAAAGUUUUAAUGGUGGCAAAAUUGAAGAACCGGAAAUUGGAAUUACUGUUUUCACUGGCAGUGAAGAAAAAGGUCGAAUCCGAGAAGGCAAGAGAUCUAGAUAAACCUGCAUGAAGUCACCAGGUUCUUUCAUCUUUAUGCCCUCGUGUGAGCUUUCGUAAGUACUGAACCGGCACGGCUACAGAGGAUUUAUUCCCGAUAAUUUUAAGAACAAAGAAUUCAAUGGAAUGGAACUAAAAUCCUACUCCAUCACUAUCAUAUUUUCAUGUACCAAAAGCACGCUUAAAGAUUAUUUAUUUACAUAAAUUGAUGAUCUUGAAAUAA
Molecule: long non-coding RNA, 766 nt
Organism: Vitis vinifera (wine grape)
Lineage: Eukaryota; Viridiplantae; Streptophyta; Magnoliopsida; Vitales; Vitaceae
Exons: 3
Source: RefSeq, a predicted model, not a curated record